This 240-nucleotide long non-coding RNA is filed under the name Elaeis guineensis (African oil palm). Its description in RNAcentral is "long non-coding RNA (EGUI_LNC008635)". Lineage: Eukaryota; Viridiplantae; Streptophyta; Magnoliopsida; Arecales; Arecaceae. The record is from RNAcentral.
UUCCUCUUGACUUUUGUGAGAUCAUUGAAGAAAUAUUCAAGAGCUUUAAUUGCAAACAUUCAAGCACUCAACAAUCAAGCUUCAUUGACUUCUAAUUUGCUUAUCAAAAGAGCUGUUUAUAUUUAAUUUUAUGCUUACUGAAUUUUCUAUAACUAGUUUUAUUUGAGAUUGAAACUAGAGGGAUAGGCUCAUCCAAGCCUUGAACUGGAUUUGUACAAGUCUAGAAUUGACUUGGGGUUA